CACGUAGGGUGCGAGCGUUGUCCGGAAUUAUUGGGCGUAAAGAGCUCGUAGGCGGUGUGUCGCGUCGGCCGUGAAAACCUGCAGCUUAACUGUGGGCUUGCGGUCGAUACGGGCAUCACUGGAGUUCGGCAGGGGAGACUGGAAUUCCUGGUGUAGCGGUGAAAUGCGCAGAUAUCAGGAGGAACACCGGUGGCGAAGGCGGUCUUCUGGACGGUGACUGACGCUGAGGCGCGAAAGCGUGGGGAGCAAACGGG
This 254-nucleotide ribosomal RNA is filed under the name uncultured bacterium. RNAcentral's name for it is "partial 16S ribosomal RNA". It matches the Rfam family "Bacterial small subunit ribosomal RNA", at positions 524 to 776 of the family's 1533-position model. The record is from RNAcentral.